This is a non-coding RNA of Peromyscus maniculatus bairdii (prairie deer mouse), 367 nucleotides long. The record is from RefSeq and is a predicted model, not a curated record. NCBI's taxonomy places the organism in Eukaryota, Metazoa, Chordata, Mammalia, Rodentia, Cricetidae.
GCAACACAAUGAUGCCACUACAGGGCAGGUAGAAUGACAGUCAUAGAUAAGACUGGUGGCUGAGGGUAAGGAGCUUGUACAUCACUACUGGAAUGCAAAACCAUGAAUCUACUUUAGAAAACAGUGAGCAAACACAUCAUCAUGGAUAAGGUGUGUCUGACAGAUGGGAAAGCCACCAAGUUAUCGGAGAACGCUCGCCUGUCUGUCCUCCAACAGAAUGAACCACCACCAAGAGUGACAUCCUAGGAGAACAGUCAUUGUACUACUAUCAAGACUCUCCAGCCAGGAAUUCACAAAGGGCACAGCGGGGACUCCCAGAGCUCCACCCUGAUCUGUCAGCGUUGUCUGAACCAAGUGCACUGAUAAG